This 933-nucleotide small RNA is filed under the name Pan troglodytes (chimpanzee). RNAcentral's name for it is "processed transcript". The record is from RNAcentral. Lineage: Eukaryota; Metazoa; Chordata; Mammalia; Primates; Hominidae.
CAAGUGGCGGCUGGUGCCCAGGUGAGUCCUGAGAGAGAGAGAAAUAGGCUGGGAUUUGGUCUGUAAGGACCAGAAGCAAGAGUGUCCUAAACCUGAGAGGGCAGGGGUCUUAAUGCCAGGGAUGAAAGAACCUUGGCCUCCAGUGAUCUAGCUGAGCAGCCAAGCCCAUCCUGACACUGACAGUGGGGCUUAAUGCUCUAAGUAUUCAGACACCAAAGUUAGUGCUGGGAUCUGAGGAAAGUAAAUUUUUUUUUUUUAAUUACUGGGUUUAUAGGGUCAGGCAGUAUCAGGGAUUGAAGUCAUUUGGGGAAAAUUGAGGUGGAUUUUGUAUGUGGGGGAAACCUCCUCUUUGUGUGUUACAUAUUUUUCUUCACCAUACCCUAACUAGGCAUUGCAGCUGUUUGAGUCCCAUGCAGGGCAUCUUGGCCCACAGCUCUUCAACAAGUUUGCACUGCCUUACAUCCGUGAUGUGGCCAAGCAAGUGAAGGCCAGGUUGCGGGAGGCAGGCCUGGCACCAGUGCCCAUGAUCAUCUUUGCUAAGGAUGGGCAUUUUGCCCUGGAGGAGCUGGCCCAAGCUGGCUAUGAGGUGGUUGGGCUUGACUGGACAGUGGCCCCAAAGAAAGCCCGGGAGUGUGUGGGGAAGACGGUGACAUUGCAGGGCAACCUGGACCCCUGUGCCUUGUAUGCAUCCGAGGAGGAGAUCGGGCAGUUGGUGAAGCAGAUGCUGGAUGACUUUGGACCACAUCGCUACAUUGCCAACCUGGGCCAUGGGCUUUAUCCUGACAUGGACCCAGAACAUGUGGGCGCCUUUGUGGAUGCUGUGCAUAAACACUCACGUCUGCUUCGACAGAACUGAGUGUAUACCUUUACCCUCAAGUACCACUAACACAGAUGAUUGAUCGUUUCCAGGACAAUAAAAGUUUCGGAGUUUAA